This 4022-nucleotide long non-coding RNA is filed under the name Sus scrofa (pig). RNAcentral's name for it is "lncRNA (ENSSSCG00000063260.1)". The record is from RNAcentral. Lineage: Eukaryota; Metazoa; Chordata; Mammalia; Artiodactyla; Suidae.
CUAUUUCUUUGUUUUAUUUUUUUUUUCUCAUUGCCUUCUAAUUCCUUCUACUUUUUUUAUUUAUUUAUUUUCCCCUUAAGCAAGGAGAAAUCUUAUAGAUUGUCAGAGCCCUGUGCCAUUUGCAUGUAACCAAAGAUUCAGUCCUUUCCAGGAACUCUGGUUGUCAACCCAUGAUUUUGCCUUUGUCUUUUCUCAUAGUUGUGCCUGUGGCGCCUGUCACUAGCAGUCAAAUAAGGACACUUUUACCAUUCUCUCCUGCUGCUCUACUUUUUUUUUAGUGCCCGUACAUGAAUUUGUUAUUCUUUAUAAUUCCCUUUGAAGUUGGAAAUCUAAGGGGAAUCUAAAACCGACCAGAUGUUUCUGCUGCUGGAGAGGGAAGAGAAUAAGGAUUAAGUUUAACAAAAACUUGGUCUCUAGGAAAAAAAAAAUCACUUCAGCUGGAAAUAACCAUUAAGUGCACUUAUUUUCUACAUAUCUGUUAAUUUAUAUUUACUAGUUCUUUGUAGACAAUAUCACCUAUCGGUUUUCUCUGGGGGAAAAAAUCAUAAAUUUUAAGAACAAAUAGAUUCAUGUUGGGGUUUGCUCAGGCCUAUUUCCCUUUUAGAAUUUUAGCUCUCUUGCCCUACACGUCCCCCUGGACUGCCUUAUGCUUUACAGUGAGUGUUUUCUGUUAUGUUGUUGUCAUUGUAGGCCCUAUUGUUGAAGCAUCACUAUCAUGUCCCAUCAGGCUGGGAGGCCAAAUCUGCAAACUUUCCUAAGAGGGGUGAGGUCAAUAUGGCCUGCGGUUAGGGAGGGAAAGAAAGGAGAUUUGCCAAAGUGCUGAGCUUUUAUGGAGAACUUCAUUCUCUUUAGAGAUCUAUAGAUCAAAACAAGGACAAGAGUGUUUAGGAGGGGAAAGGAAAAUCUUGUGGUCUUUCAGGAAUACAGAUGAUAUUGCUGAAAAAGUGUGAAUAAACAGGUUAGGAGAUAGAAAAUGAUAAGUAUAUGAAAGCACAAGAGGAAAAAAAAGACGUCAUCUGUGAGAUGACAUUUCUGGGGCCUUUGACGCUAGAUGUCCAAGGCUUCAGGCCCUGGUAUAAGGGAGAAAAUGUUAAAAAAAUAAAAUAAAAUUGGAGAAGAGUCUUAGAAACCAAUCAGGAUGUUUUGGUGGUAUGCAUAGUACUUCACAAAAGCAUUGGACUGCAGAGAUGUACUCUUUAUUUACUUGCUCGCUUCCAGUACAGCAUCUGUCACACUAUCCCCUUACACUGCUCUCUGGAUUUCCCAGGUUUCCCUAGGCUUCUAGGAGGACAGAGAAAUCUAUGAAGAACUGCUUUGUACCCCUUACCUUGCUCAGUGGAUAAACGUUUAGAAACAUUUCCCACAGCUCAUGAGGGAUGAAUAUUCACAACUCAUGUUCUAUUGCCCUUGCCUAUCUUGUUUUUAAAUAGAAAGUCUGAGUCCUCGGUAAUUAUAUUAAGCUUCUUAAGCAGCAUAUAUCAAUUGCAUACACCAUUUUAAGCAUUUUUUUCGGCCUUUUGAAAGAGAGAGUAGGGGAAGAGACAGAGAGAAAUCACUUAGCAGCUGAUUCACUUAUUUUAAGCAGCUUUCCCCAUUUUAAAAUAUAAAAAAUUCAGGUCCUGGAACAUUGGAUUUUCAAUUUAGUCCUUUAAAAAAAAAAAAAAGUUAAAAUAAGGGAGUUUCAAUCUAAACUGUUUCUUUUUCAUUUAUUAUUAUGAUUAUUAUUCGUCAAAGCAGAUAGUAUGAAAAGCAUUUAAGUUGGUCUCACUUAUGGCAGAGCUUAACUCAAUAAUCCAAGACUUGGAACUUGGUAUUUCAAUAAAGAAAACACUGUUUGAGGUAUUUUCCAUUCAAACCAGCAUCAAAAGUUUUUUAAUUAACACCAUCAGAAAUUAAUGGGCUAAAUGCAGGACAGGGUUCCUACAUACCCCACCACUGGGAACAAGACAGCAAGAGGAACCCAUUGAGCACGUUUGUAUUUUGUCCUGUGUUUUUAUUUACUCCUUGAACUGAGUCCCAGCUGCACAUUCCGGGGGCAGAGCAGCAGAGUGAAACCUGUGAGGGCCGCUCCACCCUAGCACUUUCACUUUGCUCACUGAUUAUUGUCCAGAGUUCUUUGUGAUUGUAAUUGGUUAGAAAGUUUGAAAUUAGCAAGUCCUUGUCAGCCCAGGAAAGCUUUGAAAUCACAAGGUUUGAUACAGCCAUCAAGCCUGUGGAAACCUAAUGGCUUAUUGGGUUGAGAGCCUCAGAGGCCUGAGCAGAGCACUCUCGCCCUAAGGCUUGGCCCCAGUCACCAUCCACCACCCUCCAGAGCUCCCUGUCUUAGAGGAUGGCUUUGUUUGAGGCCCUUUCUUUUCCAUCACUGAAGCCUCUUUCAGGACGAACAGACUGGACUGACUACUAGGCUUGGGAAGAAUGAGAGCAAAUGGAGUGGUGAAGAAGAGGAUCAAGAAAAAGGGAGGAAGGAGAAGGGGAAGAAAAAGCAUAAAGGGAAAAGGAAGUGGCAUAUUAAAUGGAAAGAGCUUUAACUUUUUAUUUAUUUAUUUAUUUUGUCAUUUUAGGGCCGCACUGGCAGCAUGUGGAGGGUCCCAGGCUAGGGGUCUAAUCGGAGCUAUAGCUGCCAGCUUAUGGCAGAACCACAGCAAUGCUGGAUCUGAGCCUCGUCUGUGACCUACACCCACAGCUCACAGCAAUGCCCGAUCCUUAACCCGCUGAGCGAGGCCAGGGAUCGAACCUGCAACCUCAUGGAUCCUAAUCAGAUUCAUUUUUGCUGCACCACCAUGGGAACUCCCCUAGAACUUUUUAAAGACUUGCCCACUCGUGGUCAAAGGGAAGCUACAUAUGUUCAUAUAAGGGAUCAUAAUGUACCCACGCUACCACCACCACCACAACCACAUUUUCUAGGGAUUAGGAAUACAGUCAUUUCCUUUAUACAUUAUAAUAGAAGGAUGAAGGGUCUAUAAAUUCUUCUCCUGUAACCAUAAAAAUAUCUUACUGUUUAACCUUGUGAUCUAGGUCCUUGAACCAAAAUUCUCCAGAAAACUCCUAUGCUGCAUGGUAAAUUGCAAAAUAAACUCACCUUCAGCUUUACAGUAACAAAGGAACUACUUGGACAGGGUUAAUGAAAGUAGAUAUUGUCAAGGAUGAAAUGUUUAUAGAAGCUUAAAGGUCUUAAUAACGUUCUAUAAAUCUUCUCAUUUAGUUGAAAGACUUCAAGCUUAAUACAUUUAGAUGCAAUCCUUAACCUUUUCCUAUUUCUCCUCUACUUUAAUACAAAACAAAACAAAAUACAAACCAACUACGAUGGCACAGAUAGUAUUGCCAUGAAUUCAGAAUGUCAGGAAAUUUUCAGUAGGCCCAGUCAUGACAAAAAACAGGAAAUUUUCAAUAGGCCCAGUCAUCACAAAAUGUUUCACCAUUUUUUGAAAAGCUCCCUAAAGGAGUUCAGAGAUUUCUCUCCUGAAACACAGGGAGAUCGAUAUAUAUGAACUCCUAGAGAAUAAUUGUUGAAUGAGUGUCAGCAUUUUCCUAAGAACUCCUAAGAGUCCAAUCUUGACAUCAUAGCCAGAGAAUCAGGUAAGCCAACUAGCAAUUUACCAUUUUUCUACUGUUUCUUAGCUGAACAGUGUCAGGGUUGUCAUCCCAAAGUUUGGCUUCUUGCAGGAGUCAGAGACAUUUUACGUGGAAUAUAAUUGAUUAAACCUUGUCCCAAACCAUCCUUUUGAUCAGCUUAUGCUAGAUCAGACUGCACGUACUGUGCCACACCCCCAGGAACCUCUAUGGGCUGCUCUAGCAGGUGUGUUGAGCCCUCUCUAGUUAUCCCGCAGCUCACCUCUAGUUUCGGCCACUCUGAAGCAGUUCUCUGUUAGUCCAGACUCCUGCCUCAAUGGUCUUUUCCACAGUUUGCCCCAGGGCCUUUUCAAGUGCUGGGAGAGUUCAGUAAGUCUACAGUGGAAUGGGGAGCUAGAUUAGCAGCUUAAUUCUCUGUGGUGGCAGCUCUCAACCAAAGGAGGAACAGAUCU